AGAGUUUGAUCCUGGCUCAGAUUGAACGCUGGCGGCAUGCCUUACACAUGCAAGUCGAACGGCAGCACGGAGCUUGCUCUGGUGGCGAGUGGCGAACGGGUGAGUAAUAUAUCGGAACGUACCCUGGAGUGGGGGAUAACGUAGCGAAAGUUACGCUAAUACCGCAUACGAUCUAAGGAUGAAAGUGGGGGAUCGCAAGACCUCAUGCUCGUGGAGCGGCCGAUAUCUGAUUAGCUAGUUGGUAGGGUAAAAGCCUACCAAGGCAUCGAUCAGUAGCUGGUCUGAGAGGACGACCAGCCACACUGGAACUGAGACACGGUCCAGACUCCUACGGGAGGCAGCAGUGGGGAAUUUUGGACAAUGGGCGCAAGCCUGAUCCAGCAAUGCCGCGUGAGUGAAGAAGGCCUUCGGGUUGUAAAGCUCUUUUGUCAGGGAAGAAACGGUGGAGGCUAAUAUCCUCUGCUAAUGACGGUACCUGAAGAAUAAGCACCGGCUAACUACGUGCCAGCAGCCGCGGUAAUACGUAGGGUGCAAGCGUUAAUCGGAAUUACUGGGCGUAAAGCGUGCGCAGGCGGUUUUGUAAGUCUGAUGUGAAAUCCCCGGGCUCAACCUGGGAAUUGCAUUGGAGACUGCAAGGCUAGAAUCUGGCAGAGGGGGGUAGAAUUCCACGUGUAGCAGUGAAAUGCGUAGAUAUGUGGAGGAACACCGAUGGCGAAGGCAGCCCCCUGGGUCAAGAUUGACGCUCAUGCACGAAAGCGUGGGGAGCAAACAGGAUUAGAUACCCUGGUAGUCCACGCCCUAAACGAUGUCUACUAGUUGUCGGGUCUUAAUUGACUUGGUAACGCAGCUAACGCGUGAAGUAGACCGCCUGGGGAGUACGGUCGCAAGAUUAAAACUCAAAGGAAUUGACGGGGACCCGCACAAGCGGUGGAUGAUGUGGAUUAAUUCGAUGCAACGCGAAAAACCUUACCUACCCUUGACAUGGCUGGAAUCCUGAAGAAAUUUGGGAGUGCUCGAAAGAGAACCAGUACACAGGUGCUGCAUGGCUGUCGUCAGCUCGUGUCGUGAGAUGUUGGGUUAAGUCCCGCAACGAGCGCAACCCUUGUCAUUAGUUGCUACGAAAGGGCACUCUAAUGAGACUGCCGGUGACAAACCGGAGGAAGGUGGGGAUGACGUCAAGUCCUCAUGGCCCUUAUGGGUAGGGCUUCACACGUCAUACAAUGGUACAUACAGAGCGCCGCCAACCCGCGAGGGGGAGCUAAUCGCAGAAAGUGUAUCGUAGUCCGGAUUGUAGUCUGCAACUCGACUGCAUGAAGUUGGAAUCGCUAGUAAUCGCGGAUCACC
RNAcentral lists this ribosomal RNA (1344 nucleotides) under metagenome. RNAcentral describes it as "bacterial SSU rRNA". It matches the Rfam family "Bacterial small subunit ribosomal RNA", at positions 8 to 1353 of the family's 1533-position model. The record is from RNAcentral.